GAUGAACGCUAGCGGCAGGCCUAAUACAUGCAAGUCGAACGAGAUUAAGAGGCUUGCUUCUUAUGAAAGUGGCGCACGGGUGCGUAACGCGUAUGCAACCUACCUUAAUCAGGGGGAUAGCCCGAAGAACUUCAGAUUAAGACCGCAUAAAAACACAGGAUAGCAUUAUCCAAUGUUCAAAUAUUUAUAGGAUUAAGAUGGGCAUGCGUGUCAUUAGCUAGUUGGCGGGGUAACGGCCCACCAAGGCGACGAUGACUAGGGGAUCUGAGAGGAUGACCCCCCACACUGGUACUGAGACACGGACCAGACUCCUACGGGAGGCAGCAGUAAGGAAUAUUGGUCAAUGGAGGGAACUCUGAACCAGCCAUGCCGCGUGCAGGAAGACAGCCCUCUGGGCCGUAAACUGCUUUUAUUCGGGAAUAAACCUUUCUACGUGUAGGAAGCUGAAUGUACCGAAGGAAUAAGGAUCGACUAACUCCGUGCCAGCAGCCGCCGUAA
Molecule: ribosomal RNA, 498 nt
Filed under: uncultured bacterium
Lineage: Bacteria
Description: partial 16S ribosomal RNA
Rfam family: Bacterial small subunit ribosomal RNA
Source: RNAcentral